RNAcentral lists this ribosomal RNA (253 nucleotides) under uncultured bacterium. Its description in RNAcentral is "partial 16S ribosomal RNA". It matches the Rfam family "Bacterial small subunit ribosomal RNA", at positions 524 to 776 of the family's 1533-position model. The record is from RNAcentral.
UACGGGGGGGGCAAGCGUUGUUCGGAAUUACCGGGCGUAAAGGGUUUGUAGGUGGCUUGCUAAGUCAGACGUGAAAUCCCUCAGCUUAACUGGGGAACUGCGUCUGAUACUGGAUGGCUUGAGAUUGGGAGAAGGAUGCGGAAUUCCAGGUGUAGCGGUGAAAUGCGUAGAUAUCUGGAGGAACACCGGUGGCGAAGGCGGCAUCCUGGACCAACACUGACACUGAGGAGCGAAAGCCAGGGGAGCAAACGGG